This 72-nucleotide transfer RNA is filed under the name Chitinophaga rupis. RNAcentral describes it as "tRNA_His_GTG". It matches the Rfam family "tRNA". Rfam says of the family: Transfer RNA (tRNA) molecules are approximately 80 nucleotides in length. Their secondary structure includes four short double-helical elements and three loops (D, anti-codon, and T loops). Lineage: Bacteria; Pseudomonadati; Bacteroidota; Chitinophagia; Chitinophagales; Chitinophagaceae. The record is from RNAcentral.
GCGUCUGUAGUUUAAUGGCAAAACAUCCGGUUGUGGGCCGGAAGUUAAGGGUUCAAAUCCCACUGACGCCCA